GGCAAAGGAGGUGAAAAUGCAGUGACAAUCAGGAGGUUUGCCUAGAAGCAGCCACCCUUUAAAGAGUGCGUAAUAGCUCACUGAUCAAGCGUUUUCGCGCCGAAAAUGACCGGAACUAAGUUUUUUGCCGAAGCUGUGGCUACAUCACAUAGAUGAUGUAGGGUAGAGGAGCGUUCCGUCCAGGGGGAAGCCAAGCGCGUAAGCCGCGGUCGACAGGACGGAAGUGAGAAUGUCAGAUUGAGUAACGUAAACAUUGGUGAGAAUCCAAUGCCCCGAAAACUCAAGGGUUCCUGCGCAAGGCUCGUCCGCGCAGGGUCAGUCAGGACCUAAGGUGAGGCCGAAAGGCGUAAUUGAUGGCAAGAAGGUUUAUAUUCCUUCACUAAUCUAGGCUUAGUCCUGAGGGACGAACAAAUAACACUCGGCACAACGGCCACACUUGGCAGUAUGGAUAAACCCGUUGCUGUUUGAUGCUAUUUAUUCCAAGAAAAGCUCAUUCGACUUUGAGUCUAGAUUACCUGUACCGUAAACCGACACAGGUGAGUGGGUUGAAUAAACUAAGGGGAGCGAGAUAACUCUCUCUAAGGAACUCGGCAAAUUGGCUCUGUACCUUCGGAAGAAAGAGUGCCCCUUCAUGGGGCCGCAGUGAAGAGAUCCAGGCGACUGUUUACCAAAAACACAGGUCUCCGCAAAGUCGUAAGACGACGUAUGGGGGCUGACACCUGCCCAGUGCCAGAAGGUUAAAGAAGUUGGUCAAUCUUUGAUGAAGCUAACAACUGAAGCCCUGGUGAACGGCGGCAGUAACAAUAACUGUCCUAAGGUAGCGAAAUUCCUUGUCGGGUAAGUUCCGACCCGCACGAAAGGUGUAACGAUCUGGAUACUGUCUCAGAGAGAGACUCGGUGAAAUAAAACUAGCUGUGAAGAUGCGGCUUACCUGCACACGGACAGAAAGACCCUAUGAAGCUUUACUGUAACCUGGAAUUGCUUUCAAGCUUAUUUUGCGCAGCUUAGGUGGGAGGCUACGAACCUUUUCUUCCGGGAAGAGGGGAGCCAUCAGUGAGAUACCACUCUUGGUAAGCUAGAAAGCUCAGUCUUAACCGUUAUCCGGUAAGACGACAGUUUCAGGCGGGCAGUUUGACUGGGGCAGUCACCUCCCAAAAGGUAAUGGAGGUGCACAAAGGUUCCCUCAGGUUGGACGGAAAUCAACCAUAGAGUGUAAAAGCAUAAGGGAGCUUGACUGCGAGACUGACAUGUCAAGCAGAGACGAAAGUCGGUUUUAGUGAUCCGACGGUGCUGCGUGGAAAGGCCGUCGCUCAACGGAUAAAAGUUACUCUAGGGAUAACAGGCUAAUCUCCCCCAAGAGUUCACAUCGACGGGGAGGUUUGGCA
RNAcentral lists this ribosomal RNA (1385 nucleotides) under seawater metagenome. Its description in RNAcentral is "bacterial LSU rRNA". It matches the Rfam family "Bacterial large subunit ribosomal RNA", at positions 1065 to 2523 of the family's 2925-position model. The record is from RNAcentral.